UUUCCGACUUCCGCUUGUUAACCAACCAGCAUUCCGGGCCACCUUAUAACGGGGUGAGGCGCUCUUUUUGCCCUCCUCUUGCUCGUUGGUCUCGAGUCCGCUCCUUCCGGGUUGUAUCGCCCCGGUCUCCCCUGGCAGCUGAUCGGGCUGCGGCUUCGCUGCCGGUUCAGUGUCUGGCAGACUGCUCUCUCAGCCGCCUAUUUGGGGUGCCUCGCUGCUGCUGCUCGGGUGCGGAGCAUGCCACCGCUGCUCCAGACUGGGCUGGGCAGCUGCUAAAGAGAGAGGAACUGCUGCUUUGCCUUGGCGUUUGUUUUUAUUGGUUCGUCUCGCCGCUCCUCCAACCCGCUUGCCCGUCCGCCGCCUUGAGUGCCGUUGGCCGUGGACCGACUGUUGCCGACCGCGGCGCCUGACGGCUCUGCUCGCGGCGGAUAGCCGGCACCAGAGUCGGGCCUGGUCGGCCAGCCCUGCACGUGGCAUAGACCAACAUCUUAACGAGUGGACGAAUGUUUGGGGGUUUCCCCAUUUUCUUUGUCUUAUUUUAUUAGAUUGUUUAAUUGUUAUUGGGGUUAUUUUCUGGGAUUGGGAUGAUUUGUGUUUCUGUUGCAUUUGUGUUAUUUCAUUAAUCUUUGGUAUAUUUGGAUUAUUUAGGUAAUUUGGCCAGGUUAUUUGUAUUUUUGAUAUUAAUUUGUAUUUGUUAAUUCGUUCUUUUGAAUUUAUUUCCUUUUCUUACUGUGAAUUUAGAUUAUUUUGGGGCAGAUUUCAUUGAAUCCUUGAGUUUGGAAUUUGUGGUCUGCCCACCUUUGUAUUUAUAUUUUGAUUUAUCUUUUUGGUAAGUUUGGCUUUAAUUGAUUUCCUUUGGGUAUGACCCCACCCACUACCUGGUGCAUGUGUGCUUGCCACGUGAGACUGGGGAGUGGUUUGUUUUUCUUGGUUUAUUUUGAGAGUUCUCACCCCGUCUGUGACCCAUUCCCUCCACCGGUAAGCCUCAGCCCUGAUUAGUGUUCCCCCCAUUUGGUUAUAGCGUGUGUGUGUGGUGGUUUUAGAGUUUGUUGUUUAUUUUGUAAUAAAGUGUAUUUUUCUUACCUGGAA
This is a long non-coding RNA of Lates calcarifer (barramundi perch), 1089 nucleotides long. RefSeq lists it as uncharacterized. NCBI's taxonomy places the organism in Eukaryota, Metazoa, Chordata, Actinopteri, Centropomidae. The record is from RefSeq and is a predicted model, not a curated record. The transcript has 3 exons.